ACAGCCUAUACAUGCUUACUCAGAAGUCAGUCUGCCUGUGUCCACUGACACUUAUUCCCAGAGAGAUGAACAUCUUGCAGUGGUCAUGCAGCUCACAAGAGACCAUGGGAACGAUGACCUUCUCACAACCCUUCUACACACACUGCUUUGUUGUAUCCUAUCUGUGCAACCACUCAAAGAGAUGGUGAAAGGUACAUGGAAGAUCCUGCUACAUCACAACCCUUGCCGCUCUUCACAUGCUCAAGAGGAUAGGUCAAUAGGCAGCAACAACAAAGAGGGAGAGCAAUAGUGUCAAGAUGCUCCAGCCAUCAGCAGCAAGUCCUUUCACAGAGUUGACAGCCUUUGCAGGUGCCGAACAGUGCCAAAUCUGAUGCCAUCCAUCCCUGAAGAGGGAGCUAAAGAUGAUAAAGUAUGCCUGUAGCCAAGGUCUUUUAUUUCUUAUCAGUCAUACUGUGCCUCCUUUUCAAUUAAUGCUCAUAAUAAUAACAAAUAUUAAUACAUGUUAUUAAUAUAGGAUGUUUAUAAGGUACUUUGCAUGGAUUGAUUGUUUUAGAUCUACCUGUUUAACUGUCAUUUGCAAUUCAAAGUUUCAAGUUAGAAUCUGAAGAAAUAGAUUGUGACUCAUAGAAGUUCAUGAAAAGUUAUGGACUCAGGCUGGCAUCCUUCCAAGGUCACUAAAAUGAGUACCCAGCGUGUUGAGGGCAAUUAGCUUACAGAUGUAAACUGCUUAGAGACUGCUUAGGCCAGUGAUGACG
Long non-coding RNA from Sceloporus undulatus (fence lizard), 755 nucleotides. RefSeq lists it as uncharacterized. The transcript has 3 exons. Lineage: Eukaryota; Metazoa; Chordata; Lepidosauria; Squamata; Phrynosomatidae. The record is from RefSeq and is a predicted model, not a curated record.